This 362-nucleotide ribosomal RNA is filed under the name uncultured bacterium. RNAcentral describes it as "bacterial SSU rRNA". It matches the Rfam family "Bacterial small subunit ribosomal RNA", at positions 355 to 709 of the family's 1533-position model. The record is from RNAcentral.
UGGGGAAUAUUGGACAAUGGGCGCAAGCCUGAUCCAGCCAUGCCGCGUGGGUGAAGAAGGCCUUCGGGUUGUAAAGCCCUUUUGUUGGGGAAGAAAUCGUGCAGGUGAAUAUCCUGCGCGGAUGACGGUACCCAAAGAAUAAGCACCGGCUAACUUCGUGCCAGCAGCCGCGGUAAUACGAAGGGUGCAAGCGUUACUCGGAAUUACUGGGCGUAAAGCGUGCGUAGGCGGUUCGUUAAGUCCGUUGUGAAAGCCCUGGGCGCAACGGGGGGAUUGCAGGUGAGACGGGCGAGCUGGAGUACGGUAGAGGAUGGUGGAAUUCCCGGUGUAGCGGUGAAUUGCGCAGGGAUCGGGAGGAACAC